UGGGGAAUUUUGGACAAUGGGCGAAAGCCUGAUCCAGCAAUGCCGCGUGUGUGAAGAAGGCCUUCGGGUUGUAAAGCACUUUUGUCCGGAAAGAAAUCCUUGGCUCUAAUACAGUCGGGGGAUGACGGUACCGGAAGAAUAAGCACCGGCUAACUACGUGCCAGCAGCCGCGGUAAUACGUAGGGUGCAAGCGUUAAUCGGAAUUACUGGGCGUAAAGCGUGCGCAGGCGGUUUGCUAAGACCGAUGUGAAAUCCCCGGGCUCAACCUGGGAACUGCAUUGGUGACUGGCAGGCUAGAGUAUGGCAGAGGGGGGUAGAAUUCCACGUGUAGCAGUGAAAUGCGUAGAGAUGUGGAGGAAUACCGAUGGCGAAGGCAGCCCCCUGGGCCAAUACUGACGCUCAUGCACGAAAGCGUGGGGAGCAAACAGGAUUAGAUACCCUGGCAGUCCACGCCCUAAACGAUGUCAACUAGUUGUUGGGGAUUCAUUUCCUUAGUAACGUAGCUAACGCGUGAAGUUGACCGCCUGGGGAGUACGGUCGCAAGAUUAAAACUUAAAUGAAUUGACGGGGUCAUAGCUGUUUCCU
This 585-nucleotide ribosomal RNA is filed under the name uncultured bacterium. Its description in RNAcentral is "partial 16S ribosomal RNA". It matches the Rfam family "Bacterial small subunit ribosomal RNA", at positions 355 to 1375 of the family's 1533-position model. The record is from RNAcentral.